AUGAAUAUCUUAAGUUGGAACUGCCGGGGAGGGGGGAAUUCCCGGACAGUUCGUGAGUUAGCGACUAUCUCACAGUCGCAUUCCCCCACUAUGGUUUUCUUAUGUGAGACUAGACAAAAGGCGGAGAAGAUGAGGAGAAUCCGUCACCGCAUUGGACUGAAGGGUUUUACGGGAGUUGAUAGUAAUGGCAUGAGUGGUGGAUUGGCUUUUUACUGGCAUGAG
This 222-nucleotide ribosomal RNA is filed under the name Triticum aestivum (bread wheat). RNAcentral describes it as "partial small subunit ribosomal RNA". Lineage: Eukaryota; Viridiplantae; Streptophyta; Magnoliopsida; Poales; Poaceae. The record is from RNAcentral.